Molecule: ribosomal RNA, 574 nt
Filed under: Rhodotorula mucilaginosa
Lineage: Eukaryota; Fungi; Basidiomycota; Microbotryomycetes; Sporidiobolales; Sporidiobolaceae
Description: eukaryotic LSU rRNA
Rfam family: Eukaryotic large subunit ribosomal RNA
Source: RNAcentral
GAAACUAACAAGGAUUCCCCUAGUAGCGGCGAGCGAAGCGGGAAGAGCUCAAAUUUAUAAUCUGGCACCUUCGGUGUCCGAGUUGUAAUCUCUAGAAAUGUUUUCCGCGUUGGACCGCACACAAGUCUGUUGGAAUACAGCGGCAUAGUGGUGAGACCCCCGUAUAUGGUGCGGACGCCCAGCGCUUUGUGAUACAUUUUCGAAGAGUCGAGUUGUUUGGGAAUGCAGCUCAAAUUGGGUGGUAAAUUCCAUCUAAAGCUAAAUAUUGGCGAGAGACCGAUAGCGAACAAGUACCGUGAGGGAAAGAUGAAAAGCACUUUGGAAAGAGAGUUAACAGUACGUGAAAUUGUUGGAAGGGAAACGCUUGAAGUCAGACUUGCUUGCCGAGCAAUCGGUUUGCAGGCCAGCAUCAGUUUUCCGGGAUGGAUAAUGGUAGAGAGAAGGUAGCAGUUUCGGCUGUGUUAUAGCUCUCUGCUGGAUACAUCUUGGGGGACUGAGGAACGCAGUGUGCCUUUGGCGGGGGUUUCGACCUCUUCACACUUAGGAUGCUGGUGGAAUGGCUUUAAACGACCCG